RNAcentral lists this ribosomal RNA (446 nucleotides) under uncultured bacterium. Its description in RNAcentral is "partial 16S ribosomal RNA". It matches the Rfam family "Bacterial small subunit ribosomal RNA", at positions 338 to 795 of the family's 1533-position model. The record is from RNAcentral.
CCUACGGGGGGCAGCAGUCGAGAAUCAUUCACAAUGGGGGAAACCCUGAUGGUGCGACGCCGCGUGGGGGAAUGAAGGUCUUCGGAUUGUAAACCCCUGUCAUGUGGGAGCAAAUUAAAAAGAUAGUACCACAAGAGGAAGAGACGGCUAACUCUGUGCCAGCAGCCGCGGUAAUACAGAGGUCUCAAGCGUUGUUCGGAAUCACUGGGCGUAAGGCGUGCGUAGGCUGUUUCGUAAGUCGUGUGUGAAAGGCGCGGGCUCAACCCGCGGACGGCACAUGAUACUGCGAGACUAGAGUAAUGGAGGGGGAACCGGAAUUCUCGGUGUAGCAGUGAAAUGCGUAGAUAUCGAGAGGAACACUCGUGGCGAAGGCGGGUUCCUGGACAGUAACUGACGCUGAGGCACGAAGGCCAGGGGAGCGAAAGGGAUUAGAUACCCUGGUAGUC